ACGCUUAUGAUAUUGUUGGGUAGUAGCGAAUUAGUUGUACUUACAAUUUUCAAGUAGCGAGUAGUUUUUGACCACUUUUUUAAAACAGUAUAGCUAGUUGUAAGGAACUACAUUUUUUCAGUAGCCAAGUAGAUGAUUACUUUUAGAGCAACAAUGGUUAUAUACUGUAUAUAUCAGCCACUUUUCAAAUUUCUCAUCAGUCGAUUAAACGAGUAAACAGAAUAUGCUAGUGCCCUAAUCUCAUAGAAGGAUAUCAACCUCACUACCAGAGCGUGUAUAUUUUUAGUCCACCGCCAAGAACUCAGAGUUGAUAAGGCUUUCUUGAUUGCCAAUGCUCAGCCUCCCAAUCUUCUUUAUAUAACAGUGGCGAAGCUACAAUCAUGGCAAAAAUUCCGUGGACACUUAGGUUUAAACUAAAGUACUACUAUAUAAUAGUAGGUAUUACGUGGUGUUUCCACAAACAAAACUAUUAUACUGUUUUAUCGCCAUACA
This is a non-coding RNA of Paramuricea clavata, 492 nucleotides long. The record is from the annotation of a GenBank genome assembly. Lineage: Eukaryota; Metazoa; Cnidaria; Anthozoa; Malacalcyonacea; Plexauridae.